Homo sapiens (human) is the source of this 1026-nucleotide long non-coding RNA. NCBI's taxonomy places the organism in Eukaryota, Metazoa, Chordata, Mammalia, Primates, Hominidae. The record is from Ensembl.
GGCUGCUCAGCUCCUCAUUCUUUUCAUGUGGCCACCACUCGCCUGCUUGCCAGGAAGAGGAAGCUCGGCAGCCGGCUCUUCAUCAUGCCGACAAAAAACGCUGCUGUUACUGAAGAAGACAAAGAAACCACUUUUAAAGAUAAAAAGAGGUUUUGAAGCAUUACUUCGCAUUCUGCUUGUUCGGAUCUCAUGAGACAGUGAAGCAGGCCACUCAGUCCCAUGGUGUGGAUGCUGCCUCUGUCCAAUGAUACCUGACACCAGAUCAAGGGUUCUUCCCAGUAUAGACACCUCUCAGUUGGAAAGGGUUACAAUCAUCCCAAUUUGGAAAUCCCAUCAUCAAUUGUAAAACAGACCUCCCCAAGGUGAGAAGGGGCGGGGGAAUGUAGAGCUGAAUAUGAAAAUCUGAAGGACUGCAUGGUCUAAGAAUGAAAUGUUUUCUAAAUAAAAUUAAGCUACACGGUGGAAAUUGAGGAGAAAGUCCUUAAGGUGACUUUUAAAUGAAAAUGAAAUGUCUGUUAGUAAGUUACAGAGGUGCAAUGAUACCAAGUGGCAGGCUUGUGUCUUGUUAAUUUCAAACAUAGAUUUUUAUGUGAGGCUAUUUGAUUAUAAUUUGAUUAUCUGACCCUGUAAUUAAAGUUUAUUGCCAAUUUGGAAGCUUACAUGUAAAAUGAACUGGUUUUCUUCAAAGCAAUAUACAAUCUUUUGGACUCAUUGACUUCUGGUUUUGCAUUUAAAUGGAAAAGUCAGUUAUAACGUGACAAACAGGUUGGGGUUUUGAUCAUUAAUCCUGCUAAAGCAAUAUUCAUAAAUUCAAUUCUGAAUCAGUUGGAAUACUUUUCUUUUAUUAGUUUCUGUGUUAUUAAAUGAGAUUGUUUCUGACUAAUAUAUUUCUGGACUCAAACUGUAGCUCCAAGCUGUUAUUCAAAUCAAAUAACAUGCCCCUUACUUGUGCCUCGCACUAAUAAAUGCCAACUUGUGAUACAUUUGCAAGAGACUGUCAGCAAUAUUAAAGGAGGCAAUAAUGGC